UGGCGACGAGUGGCGAACGGGUGAGUAAUGCAUCGGAACGUAUCCAUUUGUGGGGGAUAGCCCGGCGAAAGCCGGAUUAAUACCGCAUAAUCUCUGAGGAGGAAAGUGGGGGACCUUCGGGCCUUACGCUGAUGGAGCGGCUGAUGUCGGAUUAGCUAGUUGGUAGGGUAAAGGCCUACCAAGGCGACGAUCCGUAGCUGGUCUGAGAGGACGGCCAGCCACACUGGGACUGAGACACGGCCCAGACUCC
This 250-nucleotide ribosomal RNA is filed under the name uncultured Pseudomonadota bacterium. Its description in RNAcentral is "uncultured proteobacterium partial 16S ribosomal RNA". It matches the Rfam family "Bacterial small subunit ribosomal RNA", at positions 86 to 339 of the family's 1533-position model. Lineage: Bacteria; Pseudomonadati; Pseudomonadota. The record is from RNAcentral.